CUUCCCAGGCACGCAUUGGUGCACACUGACACAGUCUUGUGCCCUGCACACCCCCGAAUGCACACUCAUCUAUAUGCUCACGUGCACACACGCACACGCACACUUUUAGCUGUAAGAUGUGGUAUUAGGAAAGGAAUCAGGAAAGGCACAGACGAAACUGACCAUUUUUGCCUUCUCCAAAGACUGCAUGAUUUUAUAGUCUGUGAUGGUCCGGGUGAAAUAUCGAGUUGCCAGAAGAUGGAGUCGCCUGGGAGGGUUCCGUCUGCAUCACCCAGACUCGUCCUGAAAUUCGGUUGGGAUCCCGCGGCACGUGGGUGGCGUUCUAAAGUGGGUCAGUCCCUCAGGCUGCAGUUGGCGGUGAGGGUCCCUCCUGCAGCCACCCGGCUGACCCCAGACAUGCAGAGAAGCAAGACAAACGGCUUUCGUCGAUUUGACAAAAACCAACUGGCACGGUUCCUCUGCCCUAGGGACGGAUGCCUAACGGUUUUCCUCCCUUCUCUGAGCAAGUUUUAAACGGCCGUCUUGACAUCUUUGCUGCGUUUGACAUUUGGCAAUCUUACAGGCCAUCUCCGUUGCCCGCAUUCUCAGCCUACGGGACGCGCAGUCCUGGGCCUUCUCGUGUCUUAUAAUUUUUAAAAAUAAAUGCAUUCUGUCAUUA
Long non-coding RNA from Mesocricetus auratus (golden hamster), 658 nucleotides. RefSeq lists it as uncharacterized. Lineage: Eukaryota; Metazoa; Chordata; Mammalia; Rodentia; Cricetidae. The transcript has 3 exons. The record is from RefSeq and is a predicted model, not a curated record.